RNAcentral lists this ribosomal RNA (501 nucleotides) under uncultured bacterium. Its description in RNAcentral is "partial 16S ribosomal RNA". It matches the Rfam family "Bacterial small subunit ribosomal RNA", at positions 30 to 523 of the family's 1533-position model. The record is from RNAcentral.
AUUGAACGCUGGCGGCAGGCUUAACACAUGCAAGUCGAGCGGAGAUGAGGUGCUUGCACCUUAUCUUAGCGGCGGACGGGUGAGUAAUGCUUAGGAAUCUGCCUAUUAGUGGGGGACAACAUUCCGAAAGGAAUGCUAAUACCGCAUACGUCCUACGGGAGAAAGCAGGGAAUCUUCGGACCUUGCGCUAAUAGAUGAGCCUAAGUCGGAUUAGCUAGUUGGUGGGGUAAAGGCCUACCAAGGCGACGAUCUGUAGCGGGUCUGAGAGGAUGAUCCGCCUCACUGGGACUGAAACACGGCCCAGACUCCUACGGGAGGCAGCAGUGGGGAAUAUUGGACAAUGGGGGGAACCCUGAUCCAGCCAUGCCGCGUGUGUGAAGAAGGCCUUAUGGUUGUAAAGCACUUUAAGCGAGGAGGAGGCUACUGAGACUAAUACUCUUGGAUAGUGGACGUUACUCGCAGAAUAAGCACCGGCUAACUCUGUGCCAGCCGCCGCCGUAA